UACGUAGGGUGCGAGCGUUAAUCGGAAUUACUGGGCGUAAAGCGUGCGCAGGCGGCUUUGCAAGACAGAUGUGAAAUCCCCGGGCUCAACCUGGGAACUGCAUUUGUGACUGCAAGGCUAGAGUACGGCAGAGGGGGAUGGAAUUCCGCGUGUAGCAGUGAAAUGCGUAGAUAUGCGGAGGAACACCAAUGGCGAAGGCAAUCCCCUGGGCCUGUACUGACGCUCAUGCACGAAAGCGUGGGGAGCAAACAGGA
This 254-nucleotide ribosomal RNA is filed under the name uncultured bacterium. Its description in RNAcentral is "partial 16S ribosomal RNA". It matches the Rfam family "Bacterial small subunit ribosomal RNA", at positions 524 to 777 of the family's 1533-position model. The record is from RNAcentral.